RNAcentral lists this long non-coding RNA (419 nucleotides) under Brassica napus (rape). RNAcentral describes it as "long non-coding RNA (BNAP_LNC011518)". The record is from RNAcentral. Lineage: Eukaryota; Viridiplantae; Streptophyta; Magnoliopsida; Brassicales; Brassicaceae.
UAAAGUAAACCACAACUUCUGACUCCGAAAUGGGGUACCCUUUAGAAAAGGUCAGAAAAACGGUCCUAUCAUCCGCCAGUACCACCACUUCCUCGCUCUCCACCUCCUCCGUGACGGUCUUGUUUGUUUCUUCUUCAGCAGGAAGAGGUGUAGUAGGAGCAAUCUCCACCUCCACCGUGACGGUCUUGUUUGUUUCUUCUUCAGAAGGAAGAGGUGUAGUAGGAGCAGGAGGAGUCCUUUCUUGUUGAACACUUGAGGUUACUUGUUGAAACCUAAUUGGUGUUUGAUGUUGAACACUCUGCCUAGAAGGGAUUCCUUGUUGAACACUCGACCUAAUAGGACUUUGAUGUUGAACACUCUGCCUAGUAGGGGUUCUUUGUUGAACGCUCUGCCUAUUAGGGAUUCCUUGUGGAACACUC